RNAcentral lists this ribosomal RNA (638 nucleotides) under uncultured Actinomycetes bacterium. RNAcentral describes it as "bacterial SSU rRNA". It matches the Rfam family "Bacterial small subunit ribosomal RNA", at positions 231 to 883 of the family's 1533-position model. Lineage: Bacteria; Bacillati; Actinomycetota; Actinomycetes. The record is from RNAcentral.
UCGCCGCCUAUCAGCUUGUUGGUGAGGUAACGGCUCACCAAGGAAUCGACGGGUAGCUGGUCUGAGAGGACGAUCAGCCACACUGGGACUGAGACACGGCCCCGACUCCUACGCGAGGCAGCAGUGGGGAAUUUUGCACAAUGGGCGAAAGCCUGAUGCAGCGACGCCGCGUGGGGGAUGAAGGCCUUCGGGUUGUAAACCCCUUUCAGUAGGGACGAAAAUGACGGUACCUACAGAAGAAGCUCCGGCCAACUACGUGCCAGCAGCCGCGGUAACACGUAGGGGGCAAGCGUUGUCCGGAAUUAUUGGGCGUAAAGAGCUCGUAAGUGGUUCAGUAAGUCGGAUGUGAAAGCUCAGGGCUCAACCCUGGGACGCCAUCCGCUACUGCUGUGACUAGAGUUCGGUAAAGGAGUGUGGAAUUCCUGGUGUAGCGGUGAAAUGCACACAUAUCGUGAGGAACACCAGCAGCGAAGGCAGCACUCUGGGCCGAUAUUGACGCUGAGGAGCGAAAGCGUGGGGAGCAAACAGGAUUAAAUACCCUGGUACUCCACGCCGUAAACGUUGGGCACUACGUGUGGGGAUUUAUCGGCGAUCUCGUGGCCGACACUGAGACAUUAACUGCGCCGCCUGUGGAGUAC